RNAcentral lists this non-coding RNA (36 nucleotides) under Trypanosoma brucei brucei. The record is from RNAcentral. Lineage: Eukaryota; Euglenozoa; Kinetoplastea; Trypanosomatida; Trypanosomatidae.
AUAACAAAAGCAGUUAAAGCUAGAAUGUGAUUUAAU